AUUCCCACCUGAACCUCCAAUGCUGGUAUAGUUAAGACGGUUAUAACACUCCCCUGAUAAGGGAACAUCGGUGGUUC
This 77-nucleotide transfer RNA is filed under the name Citrobacter phage Mijalis. RNAcentral's name for it is "tRNA-Met". The stretch from base 22 to 77 matches the Rfam family "tRNA", at positions 1 to 54 of the family's 71-position model. Rfam says of the family: Transfer RNA (tRNA) molecules are approximately 80 nucleotides in length. Their secondary structure includes four short double-helical elements and three loops (D, anti-codon, and T loops). Further hydrogen bonds mediate the characteristic L-shaped molecular structure. tRNAs have two regions of fundamental functional importance: the anti-codon, which is responsible for specific mRNA codon recognition, and the 3' end, to which the tRNAs corresponding amino acid is attached (by aminoacyl-tRNA synthetases). tRNAs cope with the degeneracy of the genetic code in two manners: having more than one tRNA (with a specific anti-codon) for a particular amino acid; and 'wobble' base-pairing, i.e. permitting non-standard base-pairing at the 3rd anti-codon position. The record is from RNAcentral. Lineage: Duplodnaviria; Heunggongvirae; Uroviricota; Caudoviricetes; Andersonviridae.